Molecule: ribosomal RNA, 321 nt
Filed under: uncultured eukaryote
Lineage: Eukaryota
Description: partial 18S ribosomal RNA
Rfam family: Eukaryotic small subunit ribosomal RNA
Source: RNAcentral
CCCUUAGAUGUCCUGGGCUGCACGUGCGCUACACUGACACGUUCAACGAGUUUUGCCUGCUCCGAUGGGACUGGGUAAUCUUAUGAAAGCGUGUCGUGAUGGGGAUAGAUUAUUGCAAUUAUUAAUCUUCAACGAGGAAUUCCUAGUAAGUACAAGUCAUCAGCUUGUGCUGAUUACGUCCCUGCCCUUUGUACACACCGCCCGUCGCUCCUACCGAUUGGGUGAUCCGGUGAAUAACUCGGACUGCAGCUAUUCGGGAGACCGUUAGCUUGUGGAAAGUUUAGUAAAUCUUAUCACUUAGAGGAAGGAGAAGUCGUAACA